CCUACGGGGGGCAGCAGUGAGGAAUAUUGGUCAAUGGUCGAGAGACUGAACCAGCCAAGCCGCGUGAGGGAGGAAGGUACAAUGUAUUGUAAACCUCUUUUGUCAGGGAACAAAACCCGGGACGUGUCCCGGGCUGAGUGUAUCCGAAGAAAAAGCAUCGGCUAACUCCGUGCCAGCAGCCGCGGUAAUACGGAGGAUGCGAGCGUUAUCCGGAUUUAUUGGGUUUAAAGGGUGCGCAGGCGGUCCGUUAAGUCAGCGGUAAAAUCGCGGGGCUCAACCCCGUCGAGCCGUUGAAACUGGCAGACUUGAGUUGGCGAGAAGUACGCGGAAUGCGCGGUGUAGCGGUGAAAUGCAUAGAUAUCGCGCAGAACUCCGAUUGCGAAGGCAGCGUACCGGCUCCAGACUGACGCUGAGGCACGAAAGCGUGGGGAUCGAACAGGAUUAGAUACCCUUGUAGUC
This 459-nucleotide ribosomal RNA is filed under the name uncultured bacterium. RNAcentral describes it as "partial 16S ribosomal RNA". It matches the Rfam family "Bacterial small subunit ribosomal RNA", at positions 338 to 795 of the family's 1533-position model. The record is from RNAcentral.